Salvia splendens (bonfire salvia) is the source of this 610-nucleotide long non-coding RNA. RefSeq lists it as uncharacterized. The transcript is spliced from 3 exons. Lineage: Eukaryota; Viridiplantae; Streptophyta; Magnoliopsida; Lamiales; Lamiaceae. The record is from RefSeq and is a predicted model, not a curated record.
UCUGCAUCCAUUUCCAAUCGGCCUCUCCGCCUCCAUUCUCAAUUUCUCCACCUCCAUUCUCAAUUCUCAAUCUCUCUUCCUCCACUCUCAACUCCGGUUUCCACUCUAAGUCUCUAACCCUAAAGGCUAAAUCUCACGAGCUCUAAGCCUCCAACAGACUCGGCAAGUUCCUCACGCUGCUCAGGAGCAUGAAGAACGGCUCCGACUUCAAUUUCUCCGAGCUCAAAUUGCCGCUCCACGCCGGCACUCACGUCGACGCGCCUGGCCAUUUCUACUUCGAACUACUCCGAACAAGGCUUUGAUGCCGAUACCCUUGACCUCAGAGUACUCAAUGGUCCUGCGUUGCUCGUAGACAUUCCCAGAGACAAGAAAUUCCCAGAGACAAGAAUAUUACUGAUUUUACGAAGUUGAUUCAAAGCUUAUGAUAAAAAUUAUGGCCAAAAGAUAUGGCCAAAGCUCAUCCCGUGGAACGAAGAAGAUUGAAGACUUGGGAAUGGAUUUACAUUGUUAAUUUGUUAUAAUAUGUUGUAAAUUAAUUAGAUAUCAUGAAACUUUAUUUUUUAUUAUGUUUUGGUGGAUGUUAUUUGUGUUACUAUGAUUUUUUGUGUUA